GACAAUUUUCUCUUUUUUUAUAACAUUUAAAUUAGUCAUUGAACCCUUUAAAAUUAAGUUUCUUGGCUACGCAUCUUUAUUCUUCAACUUUAUAUUUGAAUCUACACUAUAAAAGCUUUGGGCAGCAACCGCCUAAUAACAUUAAAUUUUUACCUAAUUAAUAUGUACCUAACUUAUAUAAUAUUAAUAAUCUGCUCCCUGUCUUAAAGGGUGCAAUUAUUAAUUUAAAUGUUGUCAAAAAAGAGAAAAUACCUAUUAUUUUUAGCUUUUCAGUACACGCCAAAUAAAAGUUUUUUUUUUAAUAUUUUUUUAUUUCUUUUAAAGUUAUCAAGAAUUGAACAUAGAAAGCUGUUCGGAUGCUAACAACAGCAAUAUUAGCGAUGCGUAAGUACCUACGAGUAUAUACAAAAUAUUUAUAUUUUUGAUUCGACAGACAAAUCAUUUUAUUUCUAAAGCAAGUGAAAAAUGCUCGAAAAAAUGUGAUGUUUUGGACACAAACAAGAGAAAUGAUCGAGGUUUAUAUGAAGAUAAUUUUACAUAUUCUGUUGAAAAUUAUUUUGAAGAUAAUCAAUCCACAAUCAAUGGUAACGACUUCAACUCAAUUUUGGAAACAGAAAGUUCUCAUAAUAAUGCAUCAGUAUCAGAGCCUAAUAACCUGGAUCGAUUUUCAGCGAGAGAUAAACAUCCAUGUGAACCUACCAAUGUUUUCCAAAAUCAAGAUGAUUCGAAGAUUUAUACCGAACUGCAACCAGUCUGUUACGGUAAAAAUGAAGGAGAUGAGGUAAUGACCAAUGUCGAGACCAAUGUAGAAAAUACAAUACUAACAUCAGACGACAAUAACAUAUCAGCGCAAGAAGGUGAUCCCAAAAAACUGCAGUCAGUGAAUUAUGAUGAAAGUUCUUUAGUUGAAAGUCCUGCUGAUGAUUCGGAUAGAUCCGAACUAUACGCCUGAUGAUGAAACUUUACAAAUAAAAAGAAAGAGAAAAUUCCAUGAUUGUAUACAUGACGUUGGUACGGAAAGUCAUGAAGGUAAUAACGAGAACUCUCCAAUAAUACAAAAAAAAUCUCAAGAGAAGAAAAAAGCAAGAAUAGAAAAGCAGCAAAUAGAACACCAUUUAAAAAAGUAUCAUGUUUUGUACGCAUGUUCUUGUAAAAAAAAAUGUGCAGAUCAGUUUUCAGAUGGAAGGCGAAACGAAAUUUGCCAGGCAUUUCGGAAACUUACUUUUGGAGAGAGGCGUCAAUAUUUUAAUGCACACAUAGAAUUUAAAACAAUUAAGCAGAGAAAAACUGAUAUUACUAAUAAAAGGCAGUGCUCACUUUCUUAUACUAUGGACAAAUCUGAUGGGACGAAAGUUCAAGUAUGCAAACUUAUGUUUUUGCAUAUACAUGGAUUAAACACUGACUGAAACAAUAAUUGAAUUUAAGAGGAAACAAAAUGUAUCAAAAGGGUAUUGUUACUGAUAAACGUGGGAAGUCAACGCCUUCAAAUAAGAGAGAUGGAGAACUAUUUAAGCAACAUAUAGAGUCUUACAAUCCACAAGUUUCCCGUUACAAGCUCUCCCAUGCUCCUAAUAGAAGAUAUCUGCCUUCGGAUUUAAGUGUAACAUCUAUGUGGAAAGACUUUUGUGAACAUCAUGAAAAGGUCUCGUAUGAAAAAUAUCGACAUGAGUUUAAUUUGUUAAACAUCGGGUCUGAGCAACCCAAUCAAGACGAAUGUAGUGAUUGUAUAUUACAGUGCGAACGUAAAGGUUGGAAUAAAUUCAUUUAAA
This is a long non-coding RNA of Anthonomus grandis grandis, 1769 nucleotides long. RefSeq lists it as uncharacterized. The transcript has 4 exons. The record is from RefSeq and is a predicted model, not a curated record. NCBI's taxonomy places the organism in Eukaryota, Metazoa, Arthropoda, Insecta, Coleoptera, Curculionidae.